Long non-coding RNA from Liolophura sinensis, 165 nucleotides. RefSeq lists it as uncharacterized. The transcript is spliced from 3 exons. The record is from RefSeq and is a predicted model, not a curated record. Lineage: Eukaryota; Metazoa; Mollusca; Polyplacophora; Chitonida; Chitonidae.
GGGAAUCGUAACGUAUCCGUGGCAACGUCUGGUCUAACUUCCCAGAAUUCCAUGUCUUCAGCCAAAGCUGUGGAAAUCAUCAAGCGAUUCCAGGGUUUACAGCUCGCCAACAGCAACGCUGAGAAAGACGUCAUCAGAAAAGCUGAGGAGCUGGAGCUCAUGUCC